GUAAUCUAAUUGAUUGUCUCUAUAGUAGAGAUGAUAUGGUAAUGUUAACUGUUUAGAAUAUAAUGAUGCUUAAAACCCAAAAGGUUGCAAGGUAGUGACUAAUCCUAACUAAGUUGUGAUUCCUCUAAAAACAUAAAUUACGAGUUGGUAAUAAAUGGACGCUUUGGAUCGUUAGAUCCGGAUCCAAUACCUUCUUGUUAAAAUUGUAUAGAGGCGAAAUGUUUGAAUCUUUAUUCUUUUGGAAAGAAGAAAGAAUCACAAAGUUAUUGAGGUUAAUUCACUUAGAUGUUAGUGGCACUUGUCCACAAACAUAAUACUACUCAUGUUGGAUGACAUUCACCGAAGAUCACCCUUGGUUGGACUAUAGUUUAUUUUAAAUAAACACAAGUCCGAAUACUUUGCAAAAUGUUUCAAAGAAUUCAAGAAAUGUAAGUUGAUGAGUAAGACAUCUAAAGUAUUUACCUCCUUGGAUUUGAUCCAAGGAAAGGUAACACUUUAGAAUAGUUUCCUUGAAAGAUAUCAAGGAAAUAGCAUCAUAAGAUAAUGUAUUUCUCCAUUAGGAGAAGAACGAACUUGAAUAAGAUUUAGUUCGUUAGAUGUUAUCUAUUACCCAUAUAUAGGAUAUAUACUUCUAAAACAAUAUGAUUGUCAAUUAGAAGAUCUUCCAAGAUUUUCAUGACUCCAUAAGAUGUAGUUGGAAAGAAAGACAAAUCUUAAGCAUGUUAAGAUUUGGGGUUGUGUGCUUAUAAGCAAUAUUUGUUUGAUAAUAAUCUUGUGGGAUAUCCUUAAAUUAACUUUUGGAUAUCGCUUCUAUAAACCAACUAACAAAUGUUGUUUUGUUGGGUAGUUCAUUGUAAUCAUACAAUGUGAUUUGCCUAAAAGCAAAUAAACGAGAGAUAGAACUCAAAGAAUGGGUUCUUUGAGAGACAAGAAAGUAAUCAACAAAUAUAAACAACCUAGUUCCUAUACCAAAAGCUCCAAGGUAGUCGAUAAGGAUUUAUAAACCGUCUCAGUUGAAUGGUUUGAACUUUAUGACUAUGUCAUAGAGUUGCACCUCUUAAUUCGAAAGAAAUAAGAAUGAAAAUCCUUAUGACUACAAUGAGUGUAUAUAUAUGAUAUAUAUACUCAAGGAAAUGGUAAAAGUACCAUUUGACUCGAAAUAAUGAAACCUUCAAAGCUAAUUGGUAGCUUAAGGUGACUACAAUCAAAGAGAAUGGUUGACUUUGAAGGAACCAUUUUUGACGUAGUAGUCUUAGUUUCAAUUAAUUCGAAGAUUGCUAGCUACAACUAAAUGGUGAUUCAAUGUUUGGACAUAAUAUAGGUUUCCGAAACCAUUAUUAAGAUAGUCUUGAUAAUAUAUGUCUAAAACUAUGAAUCACAAGACAUGUAAGUUGUAGAGAUCCAUCCAUCAUGGAUCUUAGCAAGCUAGUGGGAGCUAUAAGCGUCUUAUGAGAGAAAGGUCAAAUCGUUUGAUUUCUCAUAAAGAUGUAAAUGAAUCUUUUGUUUACUAGGUUUACAAAAGAUUAGUGGGAGUUAAUCAUAUUCCUAAAUUUGUAUAUAUAUAUAUAUAAAUAUAAAUAUAUAUGUGAUAUGUAUGAAUAUAUAUAUGAUAUAUCAAUUUUGGAAGUGAAAAGAAUAUUUCUUCAUUAAAGUUAUGACUUUAAGCAUUCUAUAACGAUAGAAUGUAUAUGGGAGACAUAGUCUAUAUACAUGGGAUGGAAAUCUAUAUUGAUAGAUUUCAAGAUAUAAUUUGAUUAUAUCAAUCCCUAAUAAUAGACAAAAGUUGCUAGGAAGUUUCUCAUAUGAUGAUAAACUUCAAUUAGAAGGAUGACUAGUGUGACUAGCAAGUUGCCCUUCUCAAAGGGAACGUGCCCCUUUGACUCCUAAAGAAAUAAUGCGUAAAUAGAAUCUUUUAUGCAUACGCACAAAGGUGAUUUAUGUAUUUCAUAUUGUAUGAAAAACAUUGAUAUGAGUUGUACCUAGAACGGUACAAAACGAUAUCAAUGCAAGCCCAGGAUCAGAACCAUGGCAACUGUCAAGUGAGUCCUUAAGUAUUUAAGAAAUACUGAAGGAUAGAUUCCUCAAAGAAUGAGGAAGAAUUAGAGUAACGUAAUGGAAGCGUAAAUGUAUUAGAUUAUGAAUCUAAUCCAUUAUUGGAUGUUUCUUCAUUAUGAAUGAAGAGAUAAACAGAUAUCUCUUUAUUAUGACUAAAGAGAUAUUUGGAUGGAAACAUUAAAGUAAUGACUUUAGUGUGUUCUAUUAUGAAUGCAAAAUAUAUUGCCAUAUAGAAGUUUACAACAAUGUUGUUUGGAUGGGAAAGUUCAUUUAUGAACUCUCUAUUCGGUUCCAACCAGAAAAUGUAUCUAGUGUACUGACACUAUGACACUAAUGGGGCGAUAGCUCAAGCCAGGGAAUCAAGGUCUCAUCAAGGUCCGAACUCAAAUGAGAGACUGAACCACAUGAUUGAGAAUCAUGUAUAAUGGUGACGUCGUUAUUCUCAAGGUUGCUUCUAUGGAUAACAUAUAGAUAUCCAUUGCCUAGGCCUACUACUCAGCCAUUUAUGAAAUGACUACAGAAGAGGUAUCAUCACUGAUGACCAAGCUGAUUGGCUCUAGUGCAAGUGGGAGAUUGUUGGAAAUGUGCCCUAAAUCCAAUCAUAUGAUGAUACUUUAUGGACAUUUCACAUGUUAAACUAAUCUAGUUUAACUAUAAAAGGCAAAGAUUAUUGUUUGAGCCGUCUCAUAUAAAUGUUAUAUGCUUAAACGAUAAAGUCCAAGGAAUAUGUGAUUGGGAGAAUGUAAUCUAAUGAAGUUAGAUUCAUGAGACCAUUCUUUCGUAGACACAUCCUAAAUGUUCCUGAUCAUAGGAUUGCCAAUUGGGCAUUGACAGUCCGUCAAGAUCGGUACGUGCUAUGUCUUCUCUCAGGGAGAGUGACUAGUCUCGAGUCAUUGGUGUGUGUGACAUCAAGACAAGUACGUAGGUGCUCAGUAGAGAAUGAGUUCACUGAACGCGAUCAACGAAGAGUUCUCAUACUCAUGUCACAUGAGAACUCAUGGUUGGGAUAAUGCAAAGUAGUCCUUUGACCUGAGGCAUCACAGUUGUCUUGUGGUUAAGUCCUUGAUCUUUGAUUAUGUCAAACGUCAUUCCAUUGGAGUGUCCACGGCAUCGUUGGGGUUAAGCCACUUAGUCAUGGAGGCAAGUGAAUGCGCAACAAGGGAUCUCUAACCUUCAAACUGUUUGAGGGAGAAUACUCUAUGAUAUGAUUAAGAAUCUUUGGCCAAAGUAUGAAUGAGAUUUAGGAAAACGUUCCAAAUCACAUUCAAGGUAAUCAUAUAAGCACACGAAUCACAUUGGAUAGUAGACAUGAAUAAAUAAACUAUCAAACCAAACAAUGUGGUCAAGAGUAUUGUAUUAGAGAAAGACCGUAUUGCAUUUGUAAUCCCAAACUGAAUAGGUUUUCUCUACCUCUUCUGAUUAGCUUGGGUAACCAUGAUAUGCUGCAAGGUGUCACUCAUGGUUUGUGGAAGCCCUAAAUGUGUGUAAUCACUAAAGGGAGAAUUGAAAGUAAGUUUCAAUUCACAAUCGAUGUAAAAUGGUUUUAAUCGCCCACUGCCUCGCUAAAAGGAACCUAAUGGAUCGCACACCGUGUAAGGAGGAGAUUGAAGAAACAAUGGAGAUGAGUAAGAAUGAUUAAAUGGUUUAAUCAUUUAUUUAUGGCAAGGAUUAAUUAAUAUGUUAAUUAAUCAAACGAAUAAGUUCGUUAAAGACCUCGAGAUAGUUUUGGACCUUAAGGCCCAAUGGGCUUCGAACGUCAAGCCCAUUAACUUAAGUUGUAUGACAACUUAAUGAAUAAUGAUUCACAAAGGCCCAAACAACUCAAAAAUACCCCAAGGCCGGCCAUGAUGUUUAGGGUAGUGAACUUGGACUUAUUUACAAGUUUGCCACUCAAAUGAAUAAAGGUAUAAAUAUGACUUUAUAGCCAAAAUUCAUUAAGGGUUUGUUUUGGAGAAAAUUGGUGAGAACUUGUCUCUCCAUUUCUCUCUAAAGAGGCCGGCCACCUUGGGGGUGCAUCUUGCAAUCCCACUACUCCAAGGUCACUCAUUUCUUCUCCAAUCUCUCCUUGGUGAAGAGACUUAGAGGUUCUCAAUUUUGGGAACUUGGAGAAACCUAUUCUUCCAUCCAAAUCCAUAGAUUUUAGAUGCAAGGAAUGAAGGCCCUCUCUUUGGGUGAUUAGCCUUUGCUUAUGCAAAGAGGAAUCUACAAAGGUAUAAAUUUCAACUCACUUUGUUUUGAGUUGAGUUUUGGUUCACCAAUCUACUAGGCUUUGAAUUUCUUGGUUAAUGUUUUGUUUUUGAAUGCAUGCAAGCAUGAUUCCGCCUUUUAAUUGUUAUUAGCAUGCUAUAGAUGUUAUUCAAAUGAACAUGUUUUCACAAAAUAAUCCUUCAUGAAAAGCAUGAAACUCCUACCAAGAAUUUACUUAACUCAAUCAUGAAUAGUGACUUUUACUACUUGUAAAUAUAAAUUCAUAACGAUUAGGUGAAAUUCCUUUAUAUUCUAGCAUCAAAUCCCUACAUGUAAACUAAGUAUGCAUCCUUAAUAAACAUACAAGAAAAAGUUCUUUAUAAAGCAGAUAAGUAAAUCGCAUUCAUGUCUUAUGAAACAAUAAUUGAAUGUAAUCAAUUCAUAUAAAACAUAUGAUCAUGGCUUCGAAUUCACCUCUAGCUAAAAAGAAACUUAGUUACACAUGUUCAUCAUAAUUGAAAACCAAUCUAAAAUAAACAUUAAAACUUUGGAUGCAGGAUGCUGCACUUUUUUCUCCCCCCUUCCCCCUGGUAUUUGCAGCAAAAAUCUGUAUAUAUAGGGCAAAGGGCACGGCUAAAUCCUAGGAGGAAAAAGAUUAGGUUAUUUGAAUUAUUUUAGGACUCCUAGAAUCAGAUAGGAAGUGUUGGAAUGUGAAAAGGAUUUCUCUUUGCAGCUGGAUACAAGAUAAGGUAAGAUUGGAUAAGAUAGGAUAAGAUAAGGUUGGAUAAGAUAAGAUUGGAUAAGGUUGCUCUUUCUUGUCUAAUUCCUUAUCUUCCAAGCCUCAAUUUUAAUUCCUCCAAAUUUUAGCACAAAUCCAGCACCAUUUAAACACCAAAAACGUCAGCCCAUAUGCUAUCCAAGCCUGUUGUCCAAUUCAAGUCCAAAACUGCUCCUAAUUGCUCCAUUUUGCCCUGUAUUGUAUAUUUCCCAAUUGGACCUACAAUACUACGAAAAUAACAUAAAUUACCAAAAUAAAUGGAAAUUAACUAAGUAAAUGCAAAGAAAUAAGAUAAUAAAGUCGCAUAAAUAUGCUCCUAUCAAAAUCAUCAAGAAACAUUUGACAAGCACCAAAGGAGACGUCCACACCAUUCAUUUGUAAAGAUUUUUUGUACAAUAGUAUCUUCAUUCAUAUAUAUAUAUAUAAGAGGCCUUCAUUGUAAACACAUACCUACCUACGACUACUGACGACUACAACACACACACCUAAGCAGAGAAACACAUAGCCUUCCUAGCAUCAUUUCCAUCACUCGUAAACUUUUCCUGUAAACACUUCCUUUGUAAUUAUCUUCUGUAUACCAAUAAAAAUUUAAGUGUACAUAAGUUUUCUUUUUUUUUUCUUUUUAGUGUUUUUGUUUAAUUAGACUUCUAGUCCAAAACAGAGAAAUAUUAUUAUAGUUAUAUUAUUAUCUCGUUAAACUGAUGAUUAUAUUUUGCUCGAGCACUCUGUUAUAGUUGUGCCAUACUUAAGGGUACCUCUGAGUUCAGCCUCUAAGGCCUUAUACCUGCAUUGUGAGUGACCAUCAUGCUGAAACAUGUUGAGUUUCAUGUGCGAGGUUCUAUGUCUAAUUGUUAUAAUGGUCAUCCAACUAUUUAACUGGGUCUUGCUCUUCAAAUUUGGUAUCAGAGCCAAGUUUAGCAUUUUAAUAGUAUAAUUAUAAUAGUAAAGUACCUUAAGGAUGAAAUUCAUCAACACAACUUGUUGAUGCACAAAAUCAGUGAUGACUUUGGUACAACAGAAAGUGUCAAGUUUGGGACCUUCGCUAGAUUGCUCCAGUCACUAGUAUGGAUAGGUAUGUAAAUGGACAGAAACAGGGAAGCAAACACAAGAUGUACGUGGUUCACCCAGAUUGGCUACGUCCACGGAGUAAAGGAGUUCUCAUUAAUUGUGAAGGGUUUACACAAGUACAUAAGUUCGAGCUUUUCUUUAGUGAGUUCUAGUGAAUGAUCUAGUGAAUGAUUUAGUACAAAUGACAUUAGGAAAUAUUGUGAGAGAAUGAUCUCCUUUUAUAGAAGAGAGUCUCUAGCUUUGUUCUGACUUUGACAUGUGUCGUGCUAUGAUUGGCCUCUGAUGUCGACACGUGUGGCCUUUGAUGUUAACAUGUGCCGCAUUGUGAUUGGCCUCCUAGUUUGGGGGAAACUCUUGUGGAUCCUUGAUGGCAUAACAUUGACCCAUGCUCAAUAGUUUUUGGAUUGGUCAAGUAUGGUACAAACAGUGCUCCCCUAAGUCCCCGAGUAAGGGAAGCUCCUCGGUUGAGGACUUGCAAGAUCCAAGCCGCUGAGUACUCAUGAAACUUCUAAGUACCGAAGUGUGGUAUCGUUUUCACUUGCCUUAUCUAUCCCAUAAGUAUAUAUGGCAUCUUCUCUAAAAUUACUUUUCCUCCAUCCAGGGGUGGUAUCUUUAACUGAUGGAGAUGCACAAAGUAAUGUAUCAAUUUCACUUGAAGCUUACUUGUAGUUUUGGGCUUGGUUAAGCGUCAUACAAGCCUUAUAGUAGGAGUCCCCCAAGUCUCUGAGCGAGAAGAUAUGUCAAAAGAAGUGACAUACAAGGUAAGCGAUCAGAGUUCCAAGCAAUCAGUCUCGGAUUGAAAGUUUGAUCUCGUGUUCUGGCUGAUUGUUCUCCUUCUCCUUGUUGUGUAGACAUCAACAAGGACAAAGAAAAUGACAUGGAGAAGAGAUGAUAUGAGAUACUUUUGCUUUUGAAGAAGUAACUUUCCAUAGGCUUAUCCUUGAACUGGGCUGGAGGGUUUUCUGGUUUCCUUCAGAGUAUAAGGCCGACUCAAAAAUUUAAGGGUCAAAACAAGUCCAUCAAAUCAAGGGUGCGUUCAACCUUGAUGAUAUGAGAUACUUUUGUUGUUGACAAAGUAAUAGAUGAAUCGGCACGUGUUCUGUUGUGCUUGUCUCCACAUGCUUCCUUGUAUCCUCUUCACUUGCUCUAUCUGUUCCUCAUGCAUAUAUGGUAUCUUAUCUGGAAGCAUAAGAUGUUGAAGAUGAGUACUCGAAAACAUUGCUAGGUAAGUAAUCAGGCAAAGGGUUCCAGGUAGUCAGUUCAUGACUGGAAGCUUGAUUCCAAGUGCUGAAUAAUUGCUCUCUUUCUCCUUAUCUUGCAGGUAAGAGCAAGGGCAAAUGAAAAGACAGGAAAAAAGCAUGAUAUGGGAUACUCUUGCUUUUAACCCUAAUGAUAUGAGAUACUCUUGCUCUGGUGCGGCUGGUUUGCAGAGGUAUUAUUGGGGGGAAGAAAGUUGAGUAUUUCGAAAGGCUUCGUUGGGAGUGCCCUCUCAUAUAUGAGGAAGGGUUGAGCAUUUUUGCAUGUCUGCCUGUACAUAAAGGAUGGAGGUCGACAUAUAUAGGAGUUUCCCCAAUAACAAGUAGUAAUGCUAUUCCUUUACCCUUCUUGGUCAUAGUAAUGUAGUAGGAGCUGCAAGCUUUAUCCAAGGAAAUCUGGCUCUCGAAGCUCGGAGAGGGGUGCCUCUUCGAUUUUCAAGUAAGAAGAUAUGUUAAAAAUCUGGCUCUCGAAAUUCGAAGAGUGUUGCCUCUUCGAUUUUUGAAAAAGCAAUCCUAUUAGGGAUCUAGCUCUCGAGAUUCGGAGAGUGGUGCCUUUUCAAUUUUUUAGAAAGCAAUCAUGUUAGGAGUCUAGCUUUCGAGAUUUGGAAAGCGGUGCCUCUUUGAUUUUUGAGAAAGCAAUCCUAUUAGGAGUCUGGCUCUCGAGAUUCGGAGAUCGGUGCCUCUUCGAUUUUUGAGCAAGUAAUCCUGUUGGGGGAUCUGGCUCUCAAGAUUUGGAGAACGGUGCCUCUUCAAUUUUUAAGCAAGCAAUCCUGUUAAGGGAUCUGGCUCUCGAGAUUCAAAGAGCGGUGCCUCUUCGAUUUUUGAGCAAGUAAUCCUGUUGGGAGUGUUUUCUUGGAUGUGAGUAAAGGUUGGGCAUUUUUGCCAGUCUGCCUUGCCACGGAGCAUAGAGGUUGACACAUAUAGGAACUUUCCAGUUAUCAACCAGUGGUAUUGUUCCUUUACCCUUGUGGGUAAUAGUAUGGUAGCUGGACCUUCAAAUUUUAUGUGUCUAAACUUUGUCAGAGAUCUUUGGCAAAGUUAUCUGUGGUACCCGAGGAGCUAAUGUUGCAUGUGGAGAUUGUUAACAGAUUUUACUCAGGAAAAUCCGCUUCUCGAAAUCUAGAGAGUGCUGCCUCUUCAAUUUUUGAACAAACGGCCUUGUUGCCCUUUCUUUCAUAGGGGCACCAAUUGUGUGCAAGAAGUAUGUUCAUAGAGUUAUUGCUUGUAGGAAUUUUCUCCUUCUUUUUGUAGUUUAGAGAUUUAUUGGACUCAUUUUUCCUUCAUCAUUUAUGAAAAUGUCUAGCCCAUCAGAUCGUCAUUUUAACUUGAACUUUGGUGAAGAGGUAGUCAUGUCUCCUCAAGACAACAUAUGGUGGCCAUCAUUCUUAUCCCUUACUAGUCCUCUUACCAUUGAGGCCUCUAUUAUGAAGAAUGAUAUGACUGAUGCGGUGGUGGCCAGGAACUUUCUCAUUCCCAAAGAUAACAGACUACUUUCCAUACAGUCCGAUGAGUUAGCUAUUAAGGAUUUUCUGGCUCUCAGUGUUCAGUGUGCAAGUUCUAUGUCUAAUAUGGCCUAACGCCUAUUUGUUCGAACCUGCCAAGUUGAAUCAUUGGCGGCUGAAGUGGUAAGUCUAAAACAGGAUAUCAAAGGGCUCAAGAACGAGAAUAAACAGUUGCACAGGCUCACAUAUAACUAUGCUAAAAGCAUGAAGAGGAAGCUUGACCAGCUGCAGGAAUCUGAUGGUCAGAUUUUAAUUGAUCAUCAGAGGUUUGUGGGUUUGUUAGAAAGACAUUUAUUGCCUUCGUCUUCUGGGGUUAUGCCACGUACUGAAGCUCCAAAUGACUCAUCUUUCUAGGGUUCUACCCAGUACUGAGGCUCCAAAUGAUCACCCUCUGGUGCCUUCUAUUUUUUGGGCUCUGCCGAGUGCUGAGACUUUUCAUGAGCAACCUUUGUGAAGGCCCCCUCCUGUUUGUUUGUUUUGAUUCAUGUGUAUGCAUGUAUCUGUAAUUUAUCGAAGAUAUCAAUAAAUAAGUUUACUUCAUUUAGCCCAUUGUGUUAAAUACACUAAGGCAUCUUUCACUAAGUUCUUUGAAUUUUUUCUUUUGUUGAAGUUUGCAUGUUGAAACUACAUGGAUGAAUCUUGUAAGUUGAGGUAGUACUCCCUUAAUUUCCCGAGUGAGGAAAACUUCUCGGUUGGAGACUUAAAAGAUCUAAGUCAUUGAGUAGUCAUGAAAGUUCCAAGUACCGACGUGUAGUAGUAUAUGGUAGGAGUCCUCCAAGUCUCCAGUUGAGGGAGUUGACGAAUAAGGUGCCUUGCUAGUAGCCAAGUUUCCAAAGUAACAAAACUUCACCAUUUUCCUUUCUAAGUGGUAGCCCAAAACUCUUCCUUCAUAUAUAUUUGUUAUGAAAGUUGUUAGGCCCAACAAAGUUUGAUCAAGAGUGUGUGAAGCUUUUGGCAUUUGUAGUUGCCCUCCAUUUGUUGAAGCUUUUGUUGGUGAAGCUUUGUGGGUGAAGCUUUUGUGUUGAAGCUAGGUGAAACUUUUGUGUUGAAGCUUUGUAGGUGAAGCUUUGAGGUUGAAGCUUUGUUGGGUACCAUGAAUUGAUUUUGCUUCACACUAUCUUGAUCAAGAGUGUGUGAAGCUUUUGGCAUUUGUAGUUGCCCUCCAUUUGUUGAAGCUUUUGUUGGUGAAGCUUAGUGGUGAAGCUUUGUAGGUGAAGCUUUGAGGUUGAAGCUUUGUUGGGUACCAUGAAUUGAUUUUGCUUCACACUAUCUUAAUCAAGAGUGUGUGAAGGUUUUGGCAUUUGUAGUUGCCCUCCAUUUGUUGAAGCUUUUGUUGGUGAAGCUUAGUGGUGAAGCUUUGUAGGUGAAGCUUUGAGGUUGAAUCUUUGUUGGGUACCAUGAAUUGAUUUUGCUUCAUAUUAUUUUGAUCAAGAGUGUGUUAAGCUUUUGGCAUUUGUAGUUGCCCUUUAUUUGUUGAAGCUUUUGUUGGUGAAGCUUUGUAGUGAAGCUUCGUAGUGAAGCUUGUUAGGUGAAGCUUUUGUGUUGAAGCUUUUUAGGUGAAGCUUUAAGGUUGAAGCUUGGUAGGUGAAGCUUUGUAGGAGAAGCUUUGAGGUUGAAGCUUUGUUGGGUACCAUGAAUUGAUUUUGCUUCACACUAUCUUGAUUAAAAGUGUGUGAAGCUUUUAGCAUUUGUAGUUGCCCUCCAUUUAUUGAAGCUUUUGUUGGUGAAGCUUUAAGGUUGAAGCUUUGUUGGGUACCAUGAAUUGAUUUUGCUUCACACUAUCUUGAUUAAGAGUGUGUGAAGCUUUUGGCAUUUGUGGAUUGGACUCAUUUGAUGAAGCUUUGUUGUCACCAUAAAUUGAUUUUGCUUCACACAAUCUUGAUCAAAAUUAUGUGAAGCUUUUCAGAAUUUUAGUUGCCCUCCAUUUGUUAAAGUUGUUGAAUUUCUCAAUUUCCCUUUUUUUUUUUGGGAAAUUGGAAAUUUGAAAAUGUGGGAGAGACAACAUAUACAAAUUUUAGCUCCAUACUGUUGAAUAAGAGAUUAUAAUGCAAGCCACACCAUGUAGUAGUCAAAGGUUUAGAUAAACCAUAUAAAUUGAAUUUGCUUCGAAUAGUCUCGAUUAAAAGUGUGUGAAGCUUUCUACGAGUUGUAGUAUUUGCAUUGUUACAGAGGAGAAAUGUCUGAAGCAGAUGCAAGAGGGUUGAAGAGCUUGAUCUUCGUAUACCAUGCACUGAAGCCGUUGUUGGCUUGCAAUAAGACUUUGUUGGUGACUAUAACUCUUGUUAGGCAUAAGUGUUCCCCUAGUUGAGUUGUAAAGCUUGAGGGUUUUUUAUUAUUUGUGAAUGCUAGGAGUUCACAUGUACAAGUUGUACCACUUGUCUUCUAGUUGGUGGAAUGAAUGGUGAGUUGCUUUCAUCACUUGGUUGGUGGUACGAAGGUGAGUUCCUUCAUCAUCUUUCAUCACAUUUCAUCACCUGGUUAGUAGCACGAGGAUGAGUUCCUUCUUCACCUAGUUAGUGAUAAGAGUGGCAAGUUGCUAAAUAAUAUUAGAGUACGGGUUGUACAUUUCAUCACUUGGUUAGUGGCAUGAAAGAAAGUACAGGAUGUAUAUUUCAUCACCUGGUUAGUGGCACGAAGGUAAGUUCCUUCUUCACCUGGAUGGUGAUAAGUGUGGCAAGUUUCCAAAUAAUAUUAGAGUACGAGUUGUACGUUUCAUCACCUGGUUGGUGGCACGAAGGUGAGUUCCUUCAUCACCUAGUUGGUGAGAAUAAGGGCAAGGUGCCGAGGCACAUUGUAGCAAGUGUCGAAUGACACAAAGUAUGUUGAACCCUUUCGAAGCACAGUUGGCUUAUGUAUGGAUCUGUUGGAAUGUAUGAUGUUUAUGUAUGAAUGUGUUAGAAUGUGUGAUGUUUAUGUUGAUUGAUAUGAGUUAUGCUUAUGAAUGUUUUGCUAUGCAUGAAGGAAUCCAUGCUUUCGAUAUGUGAACCAUAUUAGUUGUAACACUUAGUAUCACUUACUUUGUGUCAAAGUACGCAUGUUGAAGCUCUGAGUUGAAGCAUAGAGGUAGGUCAGCGUAGACCAAAUGUUCCAAUGCAAUGAAUGCAAAAGACUCAGAAGAAGUUGUCUGAAUUCUUUCUUCUUUAAAUAUUUGCCGAAUGGCUUAUGUGACAAAAGAUCUCAAGCAGUUGAGGGUCAAAACAUUUGUAAUGUGUAUGCCUUCUUAUAAUAGCAUUUCCUUCAUUACCUAGUCCUCCACUUUGAAACAGUGAGGCUUGGUCCCAUAGUCAUAAUAGCCGACGGUACAUUCACCCCUGGUUGUCUUGAUACAAACUUUUAUCCCUCUUGUUGUAAUGAGCUUGCUGAGAGUAAAUAUCAUUCCUCUUACCAAGAGACGAAUAUGUUUGGUGACUUAGCGAGUAGCUAAAUGAGGUAGGAGAGGAUGCAAUGGGUGUCUGAAUGGCCAAUAUUUCCUCACUUGGUAGAACUUGACUUCCACUUCCAACUUAUUGAUAGGGGUUAACCAUAUAGGGUUCCUUUGGUAUGUCCUUACCUCGACAAAUGUAUAGUUGUAAGCUUGCAUCAUUACUUCAGAGUAAGUCUUCCAAGUGUUAGCAUUCAUCAUGUACUUGAAGAAGCAUUCAUGCAUGCCUACUGUGAAGGCCUUGAGUACUGUUUUAUCAUUUGCCUCAGCACAACGAGAGUACUCAUAGCUGAAGCGACCGGCAUAUUCACGCAAUGACUCAUUUGAUUUCUGACGAAUAGUGUAUAGCUCAUCAGCAGAGUGUACGCGAUCGGCUUGGAAGAUGCGUUGAGCCACGAAGAGUCUCCUUAGCUCAGUGAAGGAAUCCACAGUAUUAGGUCAAAGACGACAAUACCAAUUGAGAGCUCCACCAGAGAAAGUUGAGGGGAAUAUGAGACAUCGUUCCUUAUUAUUGUGUAUUCGUUAUGCCAUGGUAAAUUCAAAAAGGUAGAUAUGCUCAAUCGGAUCUUCCCUCCCAGUAUAAGAUUGCAAGCCAAGCUUUUUUUUCGUUUCUCCUUGUAGAAGGGUGCCAAGGAUUCUCUUUGUCAAAGGGUCGGGCCUUAGUUGAUCCCAGCCAGGGAUUUGGGCAUGACGCUCGGCCUUUAGCUUGUUCACCUCUUCGAGGAGAUGCAUGAUAUGAGGAUCAUGAGUGGAGUCAGGCAUCAUUAGAACUCUCAUUCGAAAAUUUUCCUCAUCCCUUAGAAGUAUGGGAGUUUGGUCAAAGGCAUGUUGCUUUUUCUUAGAUUCACCGUACUGUCUUUCGAGACGUGCCGUUUGGAAGUCCCCUGAGUCUUCUUCACCUUCUUGUCCCUUUUAGGCAUGUGGUUCCUUUCUUGGAUUAGGCGUUGGCCUACAUUGUGGUAGAGGACCGAGCCCUUCGAUGACUUUUGGGUCUUUGAUCCUUGAGCCUAUGUGGACCGAGCCCUUCGAGUGUACACAUGGUGGAAACCAACUUGACAAAGUUGAAGAAGGUAGGAAUAAGUGUGUUUCCCACAGAUGGCACCAAAUGUUGAUACAUAAAAUCAGUGAGGACUUUGGUACAACAGAAAGUGUCAAGUUUGUGACCUUCGCUAGAUUGUUUCGAUCACUAGUAUGGAUAGGUAUGUAAAUAGACAGAAACAGGGAAGCAAACACAAGAUGUACGUGGUUCACCCAGAUUGGCUACGUCCAAGGAGUAGAGGAGUUCUCAUUAAUUGUGAAGGGUUCACACUGAUACAUAGGUUCGAGCUCUCCUUUAGUGAGUUCUAGUGAAUGAUUUAGUACAAAUGACAUUAGGAAAUAUUGUGAGAGAAUGAUCUCCUUUUAUAGAAGAGAGUCUCUAGCUUUGUUUUGACUUUGACACGUGUCAUGCUGUGAUUGGCCUCUAAUGUCAACACGUGUCGCGCUAUGAUUGGCCUUUGAUGUCAACACGUAUCGCGCUGUGAUUGGCCUCCUGGUUGGAGGGAAACUCUUGUGGAUCCUUGACAGUAUAAUGUUAACCGGUGCUCAGUAGUUUCGGGAUUGGUCAAGUAUGGUACAAACACAACUAAUAUCACACACUUGUUUAUUUUGUAUGAGCACUGUAUAUUGUUGUCCUUGUAGAUCCUGCCAACCAUAGCUACUAGGAAUAUAUUGUCCUAGAUACCCAACUGUAACUAGCAUAAAGAGAAGAUUAGUAUAUAUUUUUAAAAUAAUUAACAAGACUAAAGACUUUGAAGAAACAGAGGUUUUAUCUUGAUUAUCUUGAACAUCCUUCAUUUAUUAGUAAAUAUAAAAACAUGAAAGUGCAGUAUAACGUAUUAGUGAUAGGAUUAAAAGCACACCACAAAGUAGCACACAAAUGUCCUAUUGAUUUUCCUUAUUAACACUAAGAUUUGUCAAUUGUAGCGUAUGAAAAUAAGGGUCUUUCCCGCAGAAGAUUGUUUAAUGUCACAAAAACUGGUUGUUGUCCCUACUGACCAGCCACUGAAAAAUAAUUAUUAGACCUACUUACACUUAUCUAAAGUCUACGAAAUUUUAUAUGAACACACUAGAAACAUAGAGCUACACUCACACAAAUGUUUAGGAUUUUUGGAGUUGAUUUACUAUUUAAAUUAAAUCGAACAAAAACAGGACAAAAACAAAUUUUAAGUAGUUCACAAAUUAAGAAAAACGAGUUAGGGGAAUUGCUAUCCACCACCAAAUAAUUAUGCAAACAUGUUGUGUUUCAUUCAAAUUCCUUUUAUUACACGAUGAAGAUGCUCAAGUUGGCUCAAUAUUAGAACUCAACCUAUUACUCUUUCUUAUGUAAUAUGUUAAGAGAAUGACAUUUUCAAUUCAACUUAGUCCCUUGCAUGCAAUCUAGAAUGGCGUGUUCAUAGAUUUAACAAGUAGAAAUCAUUAAGAAUGAAAAGAGUUUGAGUCAUCACAAGGCAUUGUAAGUACUAGCGUUGUCUUACUCAUCAUAGAAAUUGGUUCACAUGUUAAUCACAAUUAACAAGUACUACUCUAGAACAUAUGUAGGUCCUCAUUCGACAAGGGUAGGCACACACAUAUUCAUAGCGACAAAAUCCUAGAUAUGCUUACUAAGUAUGCAUCCGUAGAAAACACAUAAAGAAUUCAUCAAUGAGACAAGUAGUGAAUCAAUUUUCAUCCAUUCAUAAAAGUAAUUCAAACAAAAUGUCAUAACAAACUUGCAAUCAUAUUCGGGGCUUCAAAACAGCACCUAACUACUAAAAAUUUAGUUACACAUUAUUAUCAAAUAAAACCAAAAGAAAGACAUGAGUUUGAGAAGAUAAAACCAAGAGAAGAGAAUGCCAAGAUUUCCUCCUUCCUUUCCUUCCUUUCCGCAAAGCUGCCUUGUCCUCUUUCUUUUUCCCACACUGCAACCUGCAGCCUUUCCCCUUUUUAACUUCCUGCCCCAUUUUCUUCUCCUUAACUCACCCACUAACAGCCAUUUAGUGAUGGCAAUAAGUGAGAGGAAAUGGUAAAACAAUUGUAACUCUUUGGGUAGCCUUUAUGCCAAUUACUCCCACUUAAUCCUCAUCUUUAUUUCCAUUUCCUCUGAUAUUUGAAUAGGUGUCAGCUGGCUUGUUCUUGGCUGCAUCAGUUUUGGCUGCUAGAAUUAUUGCGUUUAUUGUUUUCAUUGCAGUUAUAAACUGCUCAGUCUCUUGUGAACCUUUCAGUGUUAAAACGGUCAUAACUUCUUCUACAAAAAUAAUAUUAACAAUCCGCGAAAUGUUCCAGACCAUAGACAUCCGUAGCUUUCCAAGAAUAUAAGGUUCAUUCUCUUAUUCAUAUUGAUCUAUUCACAACUUGCUUCCAAAGUCAACUGACCUGCACAGGCAGUUUUGAUGAAUUUGUUACUUAAAAUCCCACUUGUGCUUAUUUUCUUUUCUUUGCUUGACAAAUCCUAGAAAACACAAACAUAAAGUAAAUAGCUCAAAAAUAUAAGGAACUAACUAAGAAAAGAAAAGUAAAUUUGAUGUAAAAUAUAUAUAAAUAUGAGCUUAUCAAAUAGUAGCAAAAAGAGCAACAAAUCAUACUUUAGAGACUCUAAGAUAAGAAAGAGAAUUUUGAAGAAAUCAAUUAACCUUAGAGAAAGGUAGAUUUUUGUAGUUUAUGAUAGAUUACCUAAAUUUAUAAAUUAGUGAACCACAAAAAAAAGAAAAAUCACUUUAGACCAAAAUAGUUUAGUUUUUUAUUUUUCCAUUAAGAAAGCAUAACCAUAUUUUACAUAGUGAGGAAAAUUCACAAGAAAAUAGUAUGAGAUCUUAUCAUUAGUCAAGUAGAAAACAUAAAAUUAGAAAAUAAUAAGCAUAAUAACUUAUUAAACCAUUUGUUAAACUAUUUUCAGAAAAAAUCCAUAAAUAAUAUUAGACAAAAUUUAGAUUAUAUUACAUCCCAACUAGAAGAUAAUAAUAAAAAUAUUCAAAGAUUUCCUAGUAAGAAAGAGAUAAAAAGAAGCUUAUUGACCUUAUAGAUAGGAAGCCUAAGCAAGUAGAACUUAAAUAAUUAAAAAUAGUUGAGCAAUUAAAAUUAGAAGUUCAAAAAGUUCAAUUAGUACAAAAGAGUUAAAUGAGCAAGUAGGUAAGUUACAUAACAAAAUAGAUAGAUUAUUAGUUUAAUGACUGAUUCUAGAACAAAUAGAAAAUAUAUUCAAGAUUUAAAAGAAACUAAUAAGUUAGACAAAGAACCAGUAGGUUUAACAGAUUGGUCAAUACAAGUAGCUAAUAGUAAUAUACAUGUUGGACAAAAUAAUUUAAUCAUCCAAUUAGUUUUAAAUUUAGCUGAAAAUUAUAUCAAGUUGAAGAACAAAUAGCAGAAAUAAAUCAAGUUUUACAUAACACAUCUUCAUCACUUUCACCAACUUUGUUACAAAAAUUAGAAAAUUUAACUUUAAGAAAAAAUAAUUGUUUGUAUCAUACUUGACCAAUCCCGAAACUACUGAGCACCGGUCAACAUUAUACCGUCAAGGACCCAAAAGAGUUUUCCUACAACCAGGAGGCCAAUCAUAGCACGACAUGUGUCGACAUCAGAAGCCAAUCAUAGCGCGACACGUGUCAACAUCAGAAGCCAAUCACAACACGACACGUGUCAAUGUCAUAAUGAAACUAGAAACUCUCUUCUAUAAAUAGAGAUCAUUCUCUCAAAAUAUUUCAUAAUGUCAUUUGUACUAAAUCAUUUACUAGUACUCACUAAAGAAGAGCUUGAACCUAUGUACUUGUGUAAACCCUUCACAAUUAAUGAGAACUUCUCUACUCCGUGGACGUAGCCAAUCUGGGUGAACCACGUACAUCUUGUGUUUGCUUCCCUGUCCCUAUCCAUUUACAUACUUAUCCACACUAGUGACCGGAGCAAUCUAGCGAAGGUCACAAACUUAACACUUUCUGUUGUACCAAAGUCUUCACUGAUUUUGUGCAUCAACAUUUGGCGCCGUCUGUGGGAACGACACUUAUUCCCACUCUCUUCAGCUUUGCCAAGCUGGUUUCCACCAUUGUACACUCUCUUUUGACCAGGCAUCCCUUUCCAACAUGGGGAGCGAAGGAAGCCACAACACACAGAAUGACACCCAUUUUGCACCUAGUGCAAUGCAACGAAACAAGAAAGGAAAGAGGGUUGCUCUUCAAGCUAAAGUCGAUGAGCUAGAAGCUCUGAACAACAAGAUAGCAAUGAAGAAUGAGGUCCUCCAGGAGCAGUAUGAGAAGCUCUUUGAGACGCUUCACGAAACUAGACAUACUUAAACACGCGAACUCGUUACCCCUUUGGACAUCAACCAUCAUCUGGAUGUCUCCCAACAAGGAGGGUCACCUUCAUUCGACAUGGGUAUCCCUGAUGAGAAGCGAGCUAAUCAUCAAAACAUUGAUCAAUAUGAGACUUCUCUCAACCCAGCUGCUUCGACCCGAAGCAGGAGAAAUGGAGGAAGACACCUCCUUGCAGAAAGGUUGGAAGGAUCGAAAGCCAUUUAUCGUGGCUGCCAAGACUUCCUAAAGCAACGUCGAGAGAAUCCCCUCCACAUAAGCUCGAAGAUCAAUGACCCAAGGGUUUCUGAAAGACUCGGUCCCCUCCCACGUUCUAGGCCGGCUACUAAUUUGGGGAUGGGGUAACAAGUCCUAGAGAAACACAAAGGUAUAGGGGACUCAAAGAUGUUUCGGCAGACAUACCUUGAAAGUCAAUAAGGCGAGUCCAGGGGAAAAUCACAUGCUCUUGAUUAAACCUUCCUCCUUCCAAGAGGAGAUGGAGAUUUACGAAAGAAAGCUCCAGUGGUACAUGACUCCACUCAGGACCCUCUUGUCCUACAACUUCUUAAGGAAGUAAACAAGUUAAAGGCCGAACGACAAGCUGAGAUACUUGAUUGGAACCAACCUAGGCCUGGCCUUCUUACAAGGAGGAUCCUUAACACCCCCUCCAAGCAAAGACAAAGCAGAAGCUUGGCUUGCAACUCUAUACUGGAAAUGAGGACCCGAUUGAACACCUUAACCUUUUUGAGUCCACCAUGGCAUACUGGAUACACACCGAUGAAGAACGAUGUCUUCUUUUCCCCUCCACCUUCUCUGGCGAAGCUCUAAACUGGUAUUGUUGUCUUCCACCUGAGACGGUAGACUCAUUUGAGGAAUUGAGGAAACUGUUUUUUUCUCAACACAUUUUCCAGACCGAUCGCUUGCAUUCUACAGAUGACUUAUACACUAUUCGCCAGAAGCCGGAUGAGUUACUACGAAAGUAUGCCGGUCACUUCAGCCAUGAGUAUUCUCGCUGCGCUGAGGUAAAUGACAAGACCGCCCUCAAGGCCUUCACGGCAGGCAUACGUGAUUGUUUCUUCAAGUACAUGAUCAAUGCCAACACUUGGAAGACUUACUCUGAGGUGAUGGCACAGGCUUACAACCAUACCUCCACCGAGGCAAGGACAUAUUAAGGAAAACCCCCCACAGCCACCCCUUAUCAGCAAGUAGGGAAUAGAAGCUAGAUCCAACCAAAUGAGAAGACCUCGACCUUCCAAACGGCAACGGUGCCUCCCCCUGCCUUACUUAAUACUUUGCCAAGUUAAUAGAGAUAUCAAUCUCAGGGCAAAAGGAAAGAUUUCCAUCCUCACCAAUCUCAUUUUAGUAAAAGGAGUAAGGGACACUACCGCGAUAACCAAGGGUAUCGCCAUAAUAAUCCCCGACCCAAAGUAGUCAACAUAGUAGGCCAAGCACGUGUCAAGACAACCCCUACCCCGAGGUAUGAGGCAUACACACCUUUGAACGCCACAUGCGUGGCCAUUUACCUCAGCAUAGCAUACCUGAUACCGAAGCCAAAGCCGAGACACCCGGAUUACAAGUCCACUAAGAACACGGGCACGUUUUGCUGUUACCACGAGUAUAACGGCCAUAACGGUGAAAAGUGUAUCACCCUUCGUGAUCAUAUUAAAGCUUUGACACGUGAAGGAAAAAUUGAUCAAUUCCUCCUUCACCCCCUAAGGGGUAACCGUAACCAACGUCAGGUGAAUGUGAUAUAUUCCAUAAGUGGUGGCACACCCAUAUCUAAAUAUUCCAACAGGGCCAUGAAAAAUAGUGAACGAGCUUUAAAGUCUGGCCACCAAGUGUUUCACGUGGAAUAUAUCAGAGGAGGCAAGUAUCAAAAGCCUAACUGGGAUCCAAUAUGUUUCUACCCUGAGGAAGAAAGAGGUAUCAUGUACCCUCACAACAACCCACUGAUCAUGGAAGCUCACAUAGCCAACUUUGAAGUAUGACGAAUCCUGGUAGACACGGGGGCUUCGGUCAAUAUCAUGUUUGCUGAAGCUUUCAGGGCACUUAAUGUAGCUGAACACUUGCUCGAUCGCUCGAUUUCCCCUCUGAUAAACUUCUCCGGUGAUAUCAUGUAACCUUUGGGGAGCAUACACUUACCUUUCACCAUUGGUAUAAGCGCUUACACAGCUACCAUUACCACUAACUUCCUGGUGGUUGAUUGCCUAACGGCAUACAAUGUCAUCUUCGGACGCACAGGCAUCAAUGAUCUCAAGGCCAUGGUAUCUACACAUAUGUUGUUGAUGAAAUUUCCAACCCCCUAUGGCAAUGGUUACAUCAGAGGAGAUCAACUUAGUACACGAUCAUGUUACAACACUUUGGUCAAGCAACAUCACCUGCAUGUGCCCAAGGAAACCCUUUCUAUACAUGACCGAGUCAUAAAGACCAGCCCAGACGAAGCCAACUUAGAUCUUCACGGUGGCAAUAGUUAACCUGACGAUCCUCGAGAUGACUCUUUCACCCAGCAAGCACAACCCGCUGAAGAGUUGAAGAAAGUCUCUAUCUCAAAAGAUUAUCCGGAUCACAUGGUGAAGAUUGGUACCACCUUGUCACCACCCAUUCGGUUGACAUUGAUCUCUUUUUUGUAAGAGAAUACUGAGGUCUUUGCCUGGUCAUACGAGGACAUGCCAGGCAUAUCUCCCGAUAUAAUAUGUCAUUGCUUAAGUAUUGACCCCAAGACCAAGCUAGUGAGACAAGCGAAAAUCUUAUGAUGCUGAACGAUACGAGGCAAUGAAGGCAGAAGUUGAAAAACUCAAAGGCAUAGGCUUCGUCGGCGAAGUCAAUUAUCCAACGUGGGUAGCAAAUGUUAUCCUUGUUAAGAAGAAUCCGACCAAGAAAGUCUCUUGCUCCAAAAGGUCUUAUGGAGAAUAUGUGUCGAUUACACCGACCUAAACAAAGGAUGCCCAAACAAUAGCUUUCCUCUUCCUCUCAUAGACAGACUUAUAGACUCUACGGCAGGGUGUGAACUCCUGAGCUUCAUAGAUGCUUACUCAGGAUACAACCAAAUCCUGAUAAACCCUCCGGACCAAGAACACACAGCCUUCACUAUUGACAGAGGACUAUAUUGUUAUAAAGUCAUGCCCUUCGGCCUAAAGAAUGCAGGAGCGACUUAUCAGAGACUGGUUAAUUCAAUGUUUGUCGAAUAGAUUAGGAAGAGCAUGGAAGUUUACAUUGAUGAUAUGCUAGUCAAGAGUAAACAUGCUGACCAACACAUCACCAACCUAUCUUAAACUUUCACCAUUCUGAAAAGGUAUCGAAAUAGGUUGAACCCCAACAAAUGUGCCUUCGGCAUAGGCUCUAGCAAAUUCUUAGGCUUCAUGAUAAGCCAACGAGGCAUUGAGGCUAAUCCUGAGAAGAUCAAAGCAAUCCUCGACAUGAAGGAACCGGUAACUUCAAAAGACAUCCAGAGCCUUACUAGCAAGGUGGCAGCCUUAACUAGGUUCAUCUCUAAGGCCACAGACAGAUGUGCUCCUUUCUUCAAAGCACUUAAGGGAUGUAAGAAGUAUAUUACAUGGACUGAUGAAUGUACUGAGGCAUUCAAGAACCUCAAAGACUACAUGAGUAAAGCCCAUUUGCUCUCCAAACCUGAGGUUGGUGACACUCUCAUUAUCUAUCUGUCGGUAUCGGCUCCAGCAGUAAGUUCCGUUCUUAUUCGAAAGGAUGGUAAUGUCGAACGGCCUGUCUACUACGCUUGCAAGGCCUUACAAUAUGCGGAGACACGAUACUUUAACAUUGAAAAAUUGGCUCUAGCAUUGGUCAUGUCUGCACGAAAACUUCGCCCUUACUUCCAAGCAUACUCCAUCAUUGUGCUUACCAAUCAUCCUCUUCGACAGAUACUCCAAAGUUCUGACACUUCUUGGCGAAUGAUUAAAUGGGCGAUAAAAUUGGGUGAGUUUGACAUCUCCUACCAACCAAAGCCAGCUGAGAAGGGCCAAGCAGUGGCAGACUUCAUCAUCGACUUCACAUAUCCUGUUAACAUUGUUUAUACGCCUAAAGAAGUGGUUUCAUUACCCUCGGAAGCUCAGAAAAUAAAACCAACAGCCCCAGCAUGGAGUCUAUAUGUUGAUGGCUCGUCCAACCAACAGGGUUGUGGAGCAAGACUAGUCCUUACGACCCCUGACAAAGUGGCGAUGGAGUAUGCUCUUCAUUUCAAAUUCAAGGCGUCGAACAAUGAGGCCAAAUAUGAAGCCCUUCUAACAGGCUUACGUUUGGCCAAACACCUUGGGGUUAAACGAAUUAAUAUCUUCAGUGACUCCCAAUUGGUGGUUAACCAAGUCACCAACAACUUUGACUCUAAGGAUAGCUUCAUGGCAGCAUAUUUGGCACAAACACAAUUGUUGCUCAAGCACUUCCACUACCAGAUCACCCAAAUUCCUCGAGCGGCAAACAGUCAUGCAGAUGCUUUGGUUCGCCUCGCCUCAGCGGUGGAAGACAAGAUUGGGAGAAAAAUUCAAGUCGAAUUGUUGGUAGCACCAAGCACCAUGGCUGCAGAAGUGUGCAACUUACAACAAGGGGAUAGUUGGAUUACCCCAAUUUAUAGAUUCCUUGCUCAUGGCACCCUUCCAAAUGACAAAGUCCAAGCUAAGCAGAUUCGAUACAAGGCUACCCGUUACUUGAUCAUUAAUGACCAACUCUACAAGUGGGGUUUUAACCUACCAUACCUAAGAUGCCUUACGCCCGCAGAGGCGGAAACUGUCAUUCGGGAAAUACAUGAAGAAGUCUACGGAAAUCAUGCUGGAUCUCGAUCCCUAGCAUACAAGGCUUUUCGCCAAGGAUAUUAUUGGCCAACACUUCACCAAGAUGCCAUCAGAAUAUCCUGCUUAUGUGAUAACUAUUCCUCACUCCCUUCCCGAGCUGCUCACUCCUAUGAUCAGCCCUUGGCCCUUCACCCAAUGGGGACUUGAUUUGAUAGGCCCAAUGCAUGCAGGGAAGGGCAAGGUUCGCUAUGCAAUCGUUGCAGUUGACUACUUCACAAAGUGGGCCGAAGUAGAACCCUUAGCAACCAUUACUGAGGCAAAAAUAGAAGACUUCGUAUGGAAGAACAUCAUUUGCAGAUUCGGCAUUCCCAAUGCGAUAGUCACUGACAACGGGCGACAGUUCGACAACAAUAAGUUCAGGAUGUUCUGCUCUAAGUUCAACAUUAACUUAUGUUUUGCCUCACCAGCUCAUCCCCAGUCUAAUGGACAAGUUGAAGCCAUCAACAAAAUAAUCAAGUGAACUUUGAAAACCAGCUUAGACAAGGCUAAAGGUUGUUGGCCAGAAUUUGUACCCCAAGUUCUUUGGUCAUACCGCACUUCGUAUCGGACAUCAACAGAAGAAACCCCAUUCUCACUUGCCUUUGGUACAGAGGCAGUUGUCCCAGUUGAGCUUGAGCAAGCAACGUUCCGAGUCCAGAACUGUGUGCAAAGUGAAAAUGACAAACAACUUACCUUCAACUUAGAUCUAGUCGAGGAACAUAAAAACCAGGCUCACUUGAGGAAUGUCGCCUACAAGCAGCGCAUCUCCAACUACUAUGACUCAAGGGUCAAACCUCGUUCUUUCAAAGUGGGGGACUGGGUAUUAAAGAAAAGAUUACUCUGUGUCAGAGUCCCGAGUGAAGGAACACUUAGUCCAAACUAGGAUGAACCGUUUGAAGUUACUGGCAUCAGUCACCCUGGCUCUUACAAACUUAGAAACUUCGAUGGCAAGACCCUUGGCCAUCCAUGGAACGCUGAUCACUUGAAGUACUAUUACAAGUAAACUCACAUUGCACAAGUGUUAAGCUUCAGCCGUUCGGCAUCCUAGGUAACGAAGACUAUUUAGCAUGAAUUCAAUAAAGAGGUGAUUUAGACAACUCGGUCCUAAUCCUCUUACAUUCCUAGCAAUGAAACACUCGGGUUCAAAGCUUCAACAUGAAUGCUUCCAACAUGAAACAAAGUCUAGGUAUAUGUCAACAAGACUAUACAAAUAAACGAACAGUUUCACAGUAUAUUGGUUCAAUCAUACAUUCCAACACAUUCAUACAUAAGCCAACUGUGCUUUGAAAGGGUUCAACAUACUUUGUGUCGUUCGACACUUGCUACAAUGUGCCUAGACACCUUGCCCUUAUUCUCACCAACCAGGUGAUGAAAUGUGAAGAAGGAACUUAUCUUCAUGCCACCAACCAAGUAAUGAAAUGUACAACCCGUACUCUCUUUCAUGCUACCAACCAGGUGAUGAAAUGUACAACCCGUACUUUAAUAUCAUUUGGGAACUUGCCACUCAUGCCACCAACCAGGUGAAAAAUGAACUCAUCUUCAUGCCACUAACCAGGUGAUGAAAUGUACAACCCAUAUUAUCCUUCAUGCCACCAACCAGGUGAUGAAAUGUACAACCCGUACUCUAAUAUCAUUUGGCAACUUGCCAUUCAUGCCACUAACCAGGUGAUGAAAAGUACAACCCGUACUCUCCUUCAUGCCACCAACCAGGUGAUGAAAUGUACAACCCGUACUCUAAUAUCAUUUGGCAACUUGCCACACAUGCCACCAACCAGGUGAAGAAUGAACUUAUCUUCAUGCCACCAACCAGGUGAUGAAAUGUACAACCUAUACUCUUCUUCAUACCACCAACCAAGUGAUGAAAUGUACAACCCGUACUCUAAUAUCAUUUGGCAACUUGCUAUUCAUGCCACCAACCAGAGGAAGAAUGAACUCAUCCUCGUGCUACCAACCAGGUGAUGAAAUGUGAUGAUAGGUUAUGAAAGAACUCACCUUCGUACCACCAACCAAGUGAUGAAAGCAACUCACCAUUCAUUCCACUUACCAGAAGACGAGUGGUACAACUUGUAUAUGUGAACUCCUAGCAUUCACAAAUAAUCAAAAACCCUCAAGCUUGACAACUCAACUUGGGGAGCACUUAUGCCUAACAAGAGUUAUAGUCACCAACAAAGUCUUAUUGCAAGCCAACAACAACUUCAGUGCAUGGCAUACGAAGAUUAAGCUAUUCAGCCCUCUUGCAUCUGCUUCAAACAUUUCCCCUCUGUAACAAUGCAAACACUACAACUCGUAGAAAGCUUCACAUAUUCUUGAUCAAGACAGUGUGAAGCAAAACCAAUUUAUGGUGCCAACAAGAGCUUCAUCAAUGGAGGGCAACCAUAAUUCUCAAAAGCUUUACACACUCUUGAUCAAGACAGUGUGAAGCAAAACCAAUGUAUGGUGCCAACAAAAGCUUCAUCAAGGGAGUUCAACCACAAUUCUCAAAAGCUUCACACACUCUUUAUCAAGACAGUGUAAAGCAAAACCAAUUUAUGAUGCCAACAAAAGCUUCAUCAAUGGAGGGCAACCACAAUUCUUAAAAGCUUCACACACUCUUGAUCAAGACAGUGUGAAGCAAAACCAAUUUAUGGUGCCAACAAAAGCUUCAUCAAUUGAGGGCAACCACAAUUCUCAAAAGCUUCACACACUCUUGAUCAAGACAGUGUGAAGCAAAACCAAUUUAUGGUGCCAACAAAAGCUUCAUCAAUGGAGGGCAACCACAAUUCUCAAAAGCUUCACACACUCUUGAUCAAAACAGUGUGAAGCAAAACCAAUUUAUGGUGCCAGCAAAAUCUUCAUCAAUGGAAGACAACUACAAUUCUCAAACCUUCGAAACAAUUUCAAGACUGUUCGAAGCAAAUUCAAUUUAUAUGGUUCAUCCAAACCUUCGACUAUUACAAGGUGUGGCUUGCAUCACAAUCUCUUGCUCAAAAGUGUGGAAGGAAAAUUUAUAUAUGUUGUCUCUCCCACAUUUUCAAAUUUCUAGUUUCCCCAAAAAAAAAAAGGGGAAAUUCAACAAAGCUUCAUCAAUGGAGGAUAACUACAAAUUCUCAAAAGCUUCACACUAUCUUGAUCAAGAUAGUGUGAAGCAAAAUCAAUUCAUAGUACCCAACAAAAGCUUCACCCAUAAAAGCUUCACCAACAAAAGCUUUAACUCCAAAGCUUCACCAACAAAAGCCUCAUCAAUGGAGGACAACUACAAAUUCUCAAAAGCUUCACACUAUCUUGAUCAAGAUAGUGUGAAGCAAAUCAAUUCAUGGUACCCAACAAAAGCUUCAAGUCCAAAGCUUCACCUACAAAGCUUCAACACAAAAGCUUCACCAACAAAAGCUUCAUCAAUGGAUGACAACUACAAAUUCUCAAAAGCUUCACACUAUCUUGAUCAAGAUAGUGUGAAGCAAAAUCAAUUCAUGAUACCCAACAAAAGCUUCAACUCCAAAGCUUCACCUAUAAAGCUUCAACUCCAAAACUUCACCUACAAAAGCUUCAACACAAAAGCUUCACGCACAAAAGCUUCAACACAAAAGCUUCAACUCCAAAGCUUCACCUACAAAAGCUUGACCCACAAAUGCUUGACCUACAAAAGCUUCACCCACAAAAGCUUCACCUACAAAAGCUUAACCCACAAAAGCUUCAUCUACAAAAGCUUGACCCACAAAAGCUUCACCUACAAAGCUUCAACACAAAAGCUUCACCUACAAAAGCUUCACACUAUCUUGAUCAAGAUAGUGUGAAGCAAAAUCAUUUCAUGGUGCCCAACAAAGCUUCAACCUUAAAGCUUUACCUACAAAGCUUUAAAAUAUAUAUAUAUAUAUAUAUUUGGAAAUUCGAAAAUUCAAAGAUUCAGAAAUUCGAAAAUUCAAAAAAAAAAAUCGAAAAAAAAAUUUCGGAAAAAAAAAAUUGCCUAGGCCUCCUCUUCUUCGGGCUUAACAACUUUCAUAACAAAUAUAUAUGAAGAAGGAUUUUUGAGCUACCACUUAAAAAGGAAAUGCCUCAUUCGUCAACUCCCUCGACCGGAGACUUGGGGGACUCCUACCAUAUGCUACUGCACCUUAAUACUCGGAAGUCUCACGACCACUCAGUGACUUGGAUUUUUCAAGUCUCCAAACGAGAAGUUUUCCUCACUCAGGAAAUUAAGGGAGCACUACCUCAAUCUACAUGCUUCACUCACAAAGCCUUAACAUACAAACUUCAACAAAAGGAAAAAUUUAAAGAACUUAGUGAAGAAAGCCAUGGUGUAUUUAACACAAUACGUUGAAAUGAAGCAAAGCUUGUUUAUUGAUAUCUGUGAUAAGUUACAAAUCUAUACAUAUACAUGAAUCAAAAUAAACAAACAAGAAGGAGCCUUUACAAAGGUUGCUCAGAAGAAGUCUCAGCAGUCGGCAGAGCCCCAGAAAUAGGAGGCAUUAGAGGGUGAUUAUUCGGAGCCUCAGUACUAGGCAGAACCCCAGAAUGAGGAGGCACCAAAGGUUGAUUAUUUGGAGCUUCAUUACGCGGUACAGCCCCAGAAGACGAAGGCAAUAAAUGCCUUUGGAACAAACCCACAAACCUCUGAUGAUCAAGUAAAAUCUGACCAUCAAAUUCUUGCAGCUGGUCGAGCUUCCUCUUCAUGUUUGUAGUAUAGUCAUGUGCAAGCCUGUGCAACUGUUUAUUCUCAUGCUUGAGCCCCCUGAUCUCCUCUAAUAGGCGUUGGGCCAUAUUAGACACAUAACCUGCACACUGAACACUGAGAGCCAGAGAAUCCUUAACAGCCAACUCAUCAGACCGUUUGGAAAGUAGUCUGUUAUCUUUGGGAGUGAGAAGGUUCCUGGCCACCAUUGCAGUGGUUAUAUCAUUCUUUAUCACAGAGUCCCCAACGGUAAGAGGACCAGUUGGGGAUAAGAAGGAUGGGUGCCAUAUGUUGUCUUGAGAAGGCAUGGUUGCCUCUUCACCAAAGUUCAAGUCAAAACGACGGUCGGAUGGGCCAGACAUUCUAAGAAAUGAUGAAAGAGAAAUGAGGUGCGAUAAAUCUCUAAAGUAAGGGGAAAAUUCCUACAAGCAAUAACUCUCUGAAUGUACUUCUUACACACAAUUGGUGCCCUUAUAAAAGAAAGGGCAGCAGGGCCAUUGGUUCAAAAAUCGAAGAGGUUCCACUCUCUAGAUUUCGAAGAAGCACCAUUUUCCACACGCAACAUCAGCUCCUCGGGUACCACAGAUAACUUUGCUAAAGAUCUCUGACAAAGUUUAGACACAUAAAUUUUGAAGGUCCAGCUACCCUACUAUUACCCACAAGGGUAAAGGAACAGCACCACUGCUUGAUAACUACAAAGUCCUAAUAUGUGUCAACCUUCGGGCUCCGUGGCAAGGCAGACUGAUAAAAAUGCCCAACCUUUACUCACAUUCGAGAAAACACUCCCAACAGGAUUGCUUGUUCGAAAACCAAAGAGGCACCACUCUCCGAACUUCGAGAGCCAGAUUUCCUUGGAUAAAGCUUGUCUGCAAUCUUCACACGCAACAUCAGCUUUCCAGAUACCACAGACCACUUUUUCAAAGCGCUCUGACAAAGUUAAAACAUGUGAAGCUUGCAGCUCCCACUACAUUGCUAUGACCAGGAAGGGUAAAGGAAUAGCAUUAUUACUUGCUCAAAAAUUGAAAAGGCAUUGCCCUCCAAAUCUCGAGAGCCAGACUCCCAACAGGAUUACUUUCUCAAAAAUCGAAGAGGCACCGCUCUCCGAAUCUCAAGAGCCAGACUCCCAACAGGAUUGCUUUCUCAAAAAUCGAAGAGGCACCGUUCUCCGAAUCUCGAGAGCUAGAUCCUUGACAGGAUUGCUUGUUCGAAAAUCAAAAAGGCAUCGUUCUUCGAACUUCGAGAGCCAGAUUUCCUUGGCUAAAGCUUGUCUGCAAUCUUCACAUGCAACAUCAGCUUUCCAGAUACCACAUACCACUUUUUCAAAGUGCUCUGACAAAGUUAAAACACGUGAAACUUGCAGCUCCCACUACAUUGCUACGACCAGGAAGGGUAAAGGAAUAGCAUUACUACUUGUUGUUAGGGAGACUCCUAUAUAUGUCGACCUCCAUCCUCCACGAACAGGCAGACCUGCAAAAAUGCUUAACCCUUCCUCAUAUCUGAGAGGGCACUCCCAACGAAGCCUCUCGAAAUACUCAGCUUUCUUCCCCCCUCAAUAAUACCUAUGCAAACCAAUCACACCAAAGCAAAAGUAUCUUAUAUCAUCAGGGUCAAAAGCAAGAGUAUCCCAUAUCAUGUUUUUUCCCUAUCUUUUCAUUUGCCCUUGUUCUUACCUGUAAGACAAAGAGAAUGAGAGCAAUCAGUCAGCACUUGGAAUCAAGCUUCCAGUCAGGAACUGACUGCCUGGAACCCCUUGCCUGAUUACUUACCUGGCAUUGCUCUCGAGUACUCAUCUUCAACAUCUUAUGCUUCCAGAAAAGAUAUAACAUCUGCCUGAGGAACAGAUGGGGCAAGUGAGAAUGAUACAAUGAAGCAUGUGGAGACAAGCGCAACAGAACACAUGCUGAUUCAUCUAUUACUUCGUCAACAGCAAAAGUAUCCCAUAUCAUCAAGGUCGAACGCACUCUUGAUUUGAUGGACUUGUUUUGACACUCAAAUUCUUGAGUCAGCCUUAUACUCUGGAGGAAACCAGAAAACCCUCCAGCCCAGUUCAAGAAUAAGCCUGUGGAAAGUUACUUCUUCAAAAGAAAAAGUAUCUCAUAUCAUAUCUUCUCCAUUUGCUUCUCCUUAUCCUUGUUGUUGUUUACGACAUAAGGAGAAAGAGAACAAUCAACCGAAAGCCGAAGUCGAACCUUCGAUCCAGGUUGUUUGCUUGGAAGUCUGAUUGCUUACCUUGUUUGUUAUCUCUUUCAGCAAAUCUCCUAGCUCGGCGACUUAGGAGACUCCUACUAUAGGGUUUUGUAUUGCACUUGACCAAGCCCGAAACUACAAGCUUCAAGUAAAAUUGAUACAUUACCUUGUACAUCUUCAUCGAUUAAAGAUACCACUCCUGGAUGGAGGAAAAGUACUUCCAGACAAGAUGCCACAUCUACGUAUGAGACAGAUAAGGCAAGUGAAAAUGAUACCACACUUCGGUACUUAGAAGUUUCAUGAUUACUCAAUGGCUUGGUUUUUGCAAGUCCCCAACCGAGGAGCUUCCCUCACUCAGGAACUUAGGGGAGCACUAUUUGUAUCAUACUUGACCAAUCCCGAAACUACUGAGCACCGGUCAACGUUAUACCGUCAAGGACCCAGAAGAGUUUCCCUAUGACUAGGAGGCCAAUCACAGCGUAACACGUGUCGACAUCAUAAGCCAAUCAUAGCGCGACACGUGUCAACAUUAGAAGCCAAUCACAACACAACACGUGUCAAUGUCAGAAUGAAACUAGAAACUCUCUUCUAUAAAUAGAGAUCAUUCUCUCACAAUAUUUCCUAAUGUCAUUUGUACUAAAUCAUUCACUAGUACUCACUGAAUGAGAGCUUGAACCUAUGUACUUGUGUAAACCCUUCACAAUUAAUGAGAACUCUUCUACUCCGUGGAUGUAGCCAAUCUGGGUGAACCACGCACAUCUUGUGUUUGCUUCCCUGUCCCUAUCCAUUUACAUACUUAUCCACACUAGUGACCGGAGCAAUCUAGCGAAGGUCACAAACUUAACACUUUCUGUUGUACAUGUGCAUCAACAAUAAUCAUUUUAGAAGACCUAAGAUAAAUUAUUUUGAUAAUAAAAAAUGGAACUCCUUAGAAGAAGAAGAGGAAAAUAAAUAGUUUUAGCUGAAAACAUUUAUCCCAUGAAGAAUAAGCACAAGAGUUUAUUAGAAAAGGUUUUGAAAGAACUUUAAUUGGAAUUGCGUGAUUAACUAGAGCACAAGUAGGCACAAAAGCACUAAUGUACAUAUAUGGUGAUAGAUGAGAUAAUCACCAGCAAGCAUUAAUAGCAAUAGCUGAAGUAGAUUUAAGUUCAAAUUUAGAAGUCAUAGGUCGUUUUCCUAAUUAUGUUAUGACAAUUAAUGAAUUUAGUAAAUUUAUUAAAGUAAGCAUAAGAACAAAAAAAUUAUAAUAUGAAAAGAGAAUAUAAAAAUUUAUAUAUUAGCUUAAUGUACAUAGAAAAAGUGUCUGAUAAAUAUAAUCCUAAGUUUAAUUUAGAGUUUCAAAAUUUAGUUCAAACAUUUUAUAGUAAACAGUAAAUAUGUAAAGGCAAAACAUGUAGAUAAGAGAUUUUUGGAAGAAACUCAGUGGACAUAACCUAAUUUACAUGUAGCAAGAAAUAGAUAGGUAGAUAGUGUGCAAAUAUAUGAAAGUAGUACAUGAGAGACAACAAUCAGAUUUAGUAAUUACAAGCAAUUAGAAAAUUUAGAAGAGGAUGCUAGUGAAAUUGAAAGUAUUCGUGAAAGUAUUCAUUGGACUUUUGAUAAUUUAGAUGUUAAUUUAGUUGAACAAAUUUUGAUCAUAUUGUAGAUAAACUCAUAGAAGAUAUUGACAAUUUAGAUGAAGAACGGUAUUUAGAAAAAUAUAAGACAUAAUUUAGGACUACUUAGAUGAAAAAAUGAAAAAAAAUUAAAUUUAGACAUAGGUGUAUAACAUAUUUUAGAAAAAAGUAGUACAUCAAGAAUAUAAAAUAAUCCAAGAUAUACUACCAAGACUGAUCAAGGAUAAGCUAAUAUUUAUACAUAUUUUACAUCAAGUUUAUUAGUCUUUUCUUAGUAAGUUCCUUAUAUUUUUAAGCUAUUGACUUUGUUUUUGUGUUUUGUAGGAUUUUUCAAGCAUAAAAGAGAAAAUGAGCACAAGUAGGAAUUUAAAUAGCAAAUUCGUCAAAAACUGCUUGUGCAAAUCAACUGACUUUGGCAGUGAUUUACAAACAGCUCAAAAUGAAUCAAAGAAUGAGCCUUAUAGUCUUGGAAAGUUAUAGAUGUUUAUUUUCUGGACCAUUUUACGACUUGUUAAUGUCAUUUUUCUAGAAGAAGUUGUGUCUGUUUUAACACUGAAAGGUUCUCAAGAAGUUGAACAUUUUUUAAUUGACAAUGAAAGCAAUAAACAGAAUAAAUCCUAGCAGCCACAGUUGAUGCAUCCAAGAAAACCACAAGUCUUAGUACUAAUUAGAAUUGAAUUCUCGUGAUGGUGGGAACCAUAACACAUUUGGAAGGUUAUGAAAAGGAAAGAAAAGAAGCGAAGUGUGGAGAGGAGGAAAGAAGGCAGCAAGAACGUGAAGAAGGCAAGGUAGCAGGGAGUAGAAUCAAAGGAGAAGAGACUUCACUCUAUUCUUUUGGUUUUAUCUUCUCAAACUCAUAAAUUUCUUUUGGUUUAAUUUAGGAAUUAUGUGUAACUAAACCUCUAGAAGUUAGGGGCUGUUUUGAAACCCCAAAUAUGAGUGCAAUUUAGUAAUGACAUUUUGUUUGAAUUUCUUUUAUGAAGAAUGAAAAUUGGUUUACUACUUAUGUCAGUGAUGAGUUCUUUAUAUGUUUUCUAUGAAUGCAUACUUAAUAAACAUAUCUACGAUUCUAAUGCUAUGAAAAUGUAUGUGUCUGCCCUUACCAAAUGAAGACCUACAUAUGCUUUAGAGUAGUACUUGUUAAUUGUGAUUAGCAUGUGAAUCAAUAACUAGGAUAAGUAAGACAAGUGAUGACUCAAACUCUUUUUGUUCUUAAUGAUUUCUACUUGUUAAAUCUAUAAACACGUCAUUCUAGAUUGUAUGUUAGGGACUAAGUUAAGUUGAAAACAUCAUUCUCUUAACAUACUAUGUAAGAGAGAGUAAUAAGUUUGAGUUCUAAUAGCCAGCCAACUUGAGCAUUUUCAUCUAAAAAUAAAAGGAAUUUUAAUGAAACAUAACAUGUUUGCAUGAUUAUUUGGUGGUGGAUAACACUUCCCCUAAUUUGUUUUCUGAAUUUGUGAACUAAAUCUGUUUUUGAUAUUUUAUCAUUGUUCAUGUUCUGUUGUUGUUGGAUUUAAUUAACAAAGCAAAUAAACUCCAAAAAUCUUAAAUAUUUGAGUGAAUGUACCUCUAUGGGUCUAGUGUCUACAUAUAAAAUUUCGUUGAAUUUAAAUAAGUGUAAGCUAGUCUAAUAAUUAUUUUUGGGUGGCUGGUUAAUAGGAACAGCAUCCCAGUUUUUGUGAAAUUUUAAGUUGUUAGGUAAAACAAUAUUCUAUGGGUAAGAUCAUUAUUUUCAUUUGCUACAAUUGACAAGGGAAAAUCAAUAGGGCAUUUGUGUGUUACUCUAUGGUGUGCCUAUGUGUGCUACUCCACAACACCAUGCGAAGUAGAUCUAACAAAUCAAAUAGCUUGACCCCUUUACAUAUAGAUCUAAAAGAGAUCCAUCAUACCAAGAUGAAAAAGAAAAUGAAGAACUAUCUUAAAGAAAAAAACAAACAUACAAGCACACUCCUAGUAUGUUUCUGAAAAUUAAUAUACACAAUCAAACUAAAAGAACCCAACUAUGCCUUGACUCCACAUCCUCAAAAAACAAACAUACAAGCACACUCCUAGUAAGUUUCUGAAAAUUAAUAUUACACAAUCAAACUAAAAGAACAAAACUAUGCCUUGACCCCACAUCCUCUUCGCAUCUCAAAAAGACGCAUAGCAUUGUACCGCCAGACACAAUCCGACAACUUCAACAUCCUUGGAGCUCCAAACCCCAAAUCGAAAGUGGCAGCUAGAUGGGCCAAAAAAUGGCGAUUAUCUUGACGCUUACAAAGUUACAAGUUUCAUAGUGACGAUUCUACACCAAAAAAAUAAAUAAACAAGUGGAAAGGGAGAAUAAACAAAGGAGUGCCGCUAGUUCUAUGGCCAAAGGCAUGGCUGCAUAUAAAAGAGAGAUUUUUAACUAUUUUGUCCUUAAAAAAAAAAAAAGAGAUUUUCAACUAUUUUGAUUGAAUAAUUUUUGUGGAUUUCUCAUUACGUGAAACUACAUUAGAAAAAUAGCUACAAAAGAAUAUACAAUCAAUUACAAGAUAGAUCUCUACUUUUCUAAUAAACCACCAUUGGAUUGUAUUAAAAGAUAAUGUUGAAAACAUAGUUAGUAAAAUAUAGAAAGAACGGGUAUAAUACAUGGAAAUAUGUACAUAUAUUAUUUGGCAACUUAACUCAAAAUUUACUUCGAAAAUUUUAGCCACUUUUUGUUAAAUUAAUAUUUAUUUAUUUCAAUUAAUCAAUUAUAUUUCUUAAAAAUGCUUAAAAUACAUGUAGAUUACGUGAAUUUUGUGUGUAUUAUUGAAAAUCAUUGUUCUAAAAAUCUCCGCCUAGGCGUUAGGUGGCUAGCCACCUCUCCGAUUAAUGCCUAGGUGUUUGAAAAUUAAGAAAAGACGCCUAGACUUGUUGAGGCACUCCAAACCCGCCUAGGUUGUGACUCACUUAGACAGAAAAUAUAUAACUUUCAUUUUGCAUUUUAUUUUUUUUCAAUAAAUUGUAAGAGACUUGUUAGAUACUUAAAGGGUAAAUUACACAAUACCCCCUCAAGUUUGAGGUAUAUUACAAUCGCAUACAACAUCUUCAAAACAUUUCACUUUCAUACCUCAACUACUAUUUUAUUUCAAUAUAGUACCUCCGUUACAUUUUCCAUCCAUUGAUCUGUUAAAAGCUGACGUGGCUGCCACAGUUGUGCCACAUGGUAAAAAAUAAAUUUUUAUUCGUUUAUAAUAUUAUAAUAAUUUACCCUUGGUUGUAAAUAAUGGAUGUCCACUCAUCCACUCAACAAGUGGAUGUCCAAGAAGCUUGCUCAACACUACUCAUUUUUUCUAUAAAAGCAAACCCCACACAACAUCAAGUGGGUGAUCCACGGGAGAGAUAGGAAGGAAGAGAGGAAGAGAGAUAGGAAGGAAGAGAGGAAGAGGAGAGGAGAUAAUAGAGAGAGUUAUCUUUGUACUCCUAUUAUUCCAAAUUAUAAUGAAAGCACCACUGCUGCCCCGAGGAUGUACUAUAGUCACACUGACUGUAGAGGAACCUCGUAAAUUUUGUGUCUUGUUUAUUUAUUCCACUGCACACACCGUCGAUUUUACAACACGUUAUCAGCACGAGAAGCUCUCAUAUCAGUGGAAAGCACAACGCCACAAAUCUUGUUCACCUCCUUCAGCUGGAAUCUCACAGAUAAGAAAAUCUUUUCAUUUCAUCUUCAAAUCUCAGUACAAUUGAUUUUCUUGAAGCAACUACAUAUAUUGUUGUAUGAUUAUAUAUCAUCAUUUGCAGAAGCAAAGAGUACAGACUCAAAAUUCAUAGAGAAUUGGGCAGCCAUGUAAACAGCCAAGAAACUCCAAUUUGUGGACCUCGGAUUGAAAUACUUUCUUCUUAAAAGUUGUUCGUCCACUCAAUAUCUACAACAUAUCAAAAUUUCAGUAAACUUUAACAGUGCGAUCGUCGCAGAUGUCUGAAAUACCAAACCAGUUUCCAAUUUCUGUAGAAAACUAGAUAGCAACCUUAUGAGUACCAAAACUCCAUUUCGGUAGAUCAGAUCGAAAUUGUUUCUUCACGAAAGUUGUUCAGUAUCCUCUUAUCCACAUCAUACUAAAAUUUGAACUAAAUCCAAUAGUUUGAUCUUCUCAUAAGUUGCAGACACUCUUGACUCCAUAACUUAUAGGAACCGUUUCGACCUUUUCGAAACUCACCGGAGGAGGAACACCAAUUGGAACCUAUUGUUACUAUUAUUUCCUGAGUAACCAAAAUGACUUCAGAACUGUGAAAUAAAAAUAAAAAUAAAAGGAAUCAAACAAAAGAAGUGGCAGACCAAGAAAAAGAAAAAGCAAAAGAUGAGGACUUAAUCAUUGCAUUUUCUGUUUUGGCAUAUUUAUGUGCAUGGUGUUGGUUUAAAGCCCAUGUCACAAGUUCUAUUUAUUUAAAGUAAUUUAUUUACACUGGGUAGAAUUAUUACCCUUUGCUUUAAAGCUUUGAUAUUUAUGUGCAUGGCGUUGGUUUAAAUCUCAUGUCACAAGUUCUAUUUAUUUAAAGCAAUUUAUUUACAGUGGGUAGAAUUAUUACCCUUUGCUUUAAAACUUUGAUAUUUAUGUGAAUGGUGUUGAAUCGAAGCCCUUGUCACAAGCUUUAUUUACUUUAAAGCAAUUUAUUUACCAUGGACGGUUUUACCACCUAUUGCUUUAAGUUUUGAUGGUGCUGAAUUAAAGCCCUUGUCACAAGCUUUAUUUACUUAAAUGCAAUUUAUUCAUUAUGGCUGGAAUUACCGCAUAAUGCUUUAAUUUAUUUAUUGUACUUAUCCUUUGUUACGACGAAUCUAUACAGGACCUGAACUUCCUUGAUCAGAUCAGAACCUGCAGUUUCUUGAUCUUCAUCAUAUAAAAAUAAUUGGACUUGAAGUUCCAUCACGCAAAAGGAUCAUGUAUGAAGUCCCUUGAUCCUGAAGAUCAAGACAUGAAGUUCCUAGAUGAGUACCGUAAGUUUGAAGCGUUGUAGUGCCUCAACUUAAUUGUAAUAAAGAACAUAAGAGUCUCAGUUCACAGACUAUUAAAUAAGGACCAGAAAUUCCUCAUGUCCAUACUCAAAAUGGUUUAGCAGAAGCAUUCAUUAAGUGGGUGAAAUUGAUUACCAACGCUCUGCUCAUGAAAACGAAAUUGCCAGUUUUCUACAUAGGGACAUGUAAACUUUACAUGAUGCAUUAUUAAUUCGGUUGAGACAUGUUACCGACCAUCACUACUUCUCAGUACAACUCGUGUUUGGGAACUAGCCAAACAUUAUACAUUUACGAUUUUUUGGUUGUGUUAUUUAUGUGCCUAUUGCACUGCCGCAACGUACUGAAAUGAGGCAUCAUCGUGGAUUAGGCAUUGAUGUUGAACACCAUCUAUCAUUCAAUAUUUGGAAUCCUUGACUGGGGUUAUGUUUACCGCGUGGUUUGCGGACUAUGAUUUUGAUAAGACAGUUUUCCCGCCAUUAGGGGGAGAAAAUAACAUUGUUCCAGAAGAACAAUGAGAAAAUAUCAUUCCAGAAGAAUGAUAAGAAAAGACCGUUCCAGAAGAACGAAGAGAAUUUGUCUUAUUUUGAUUCACGAAGCAAACAAUGAGAAAAUGAAAUAGGAAUAAUUGAAUGAUGCAAUGAAAGUGAUGAAAUCAUAUAUACUUGCUGCAAAUAUGCCUACAAGAAUUGAUGUCCCUGUUGGACAAAAUAAUGAGACAGUAAAUGAUUUAUCUGUUGCACGCCUGAAGCGUGGCAGACUUUCAGACUCAAAAGGUUUAGUCAUUUGAAAGAAGAAGAAUAUGGCACUACUGAACUAUUGCAUUCCCGAAGCAUAACUGUUGCUUGCCAGAAGCAUGACAGAUGCCGCAUGGAUACACGUCCCAGAUAGGACAAUCCACGGACAUGGGAAUAUUGAUGUCUCAUGCAUGAAACAUGAUAGGCGUAUAGGUUCCAAUGACUCAACUCCCAGAAGUGGAGAUUAAAAUCCAAGCUCUAUAACGCUCAAGAAGAGGUUAUGAUCCACAUUCUUUAAAUUACGACUAUCCUAGAAGAGAUAGUGUAAUGCCCUUGAAGAGGCAAUGGAUAUCCAAAAGAAAUGAAAAGCUUUUAUGCAUGCGCAUGCACAUGAGAAUAUGGGAUCACGGAUUGAUGAUAACCAAUGGUAAUUUUGGUUUUUACAAGUAGCUACUAAAUUCAUCAAUGAGUUGUGUUAAUAUUGAGUCAUGUUCUUUUGUUCAUCGACAAAAGGAAAAUUAUUGGCCAAAAAUGGAAAAAGGCAAUUCCAUUACAAUUUUGUAAGAACAUGGAAAAAUGGACCUAUAUAUAUUUGAAUACAAUACAAAUAGCCAAAAGAUGUUGAACCAAGGAGGUUACAUAUGGGCAUUUGUAAUACAGUGAAUUACACUCACAUGAUAUGACAAAAGGUUACUAAUUGAAACUUGAAAUUAUACUCUUGUAAAUGAGUUCAUAUGAAUGGAGAAUUAUAUAUAAAGGGUUGUGAGUCGCCCACAUCAUAUCUCCAUAAGUAAAUCCCUCAAGUAUACAUGGGAGCAAAUUGCUCUGUAUAAAUUCCAAAGGAAAAUGUGUCAUGAAGUAUAGAAAAUCCUUGAAGGAUUCAAAUUGUUUAAAGUAAGCCCCUGAAGGGUAAGGCAUAAAUUAUGUACUCAAUACCAAUGGAUGGUAUAAAUUGCCUUAGUGAGUACUAUCAUUAUGAUAUUGUUGCAACAUACUAAAAUCUCUUGCAAGAGUCAAUGACAUUAAAUUAGAACUCUUGAAGAGUUGAUGAUAUUAAAUUGAGACUCCUGAAGAGUAAAGAAAGAUUAUAAAGUGUUGAGAGAAAUAUUGUCUCGAGCUGCAGAUCGAACAAUCUACCAACACGAAUCUUAUCCAUGAUGUCUAUGAUAAUAAAAGAACCAUAUGGAUUGAAGAUUAUGAGUUGAAUACUCAAAUGAUGUAAACACUAAGAAAGAUCAUUUAUCUUCGUGAGGGUGAAGAAAAAUGGAUAUUUGGUCCAGAAGUACCACAUCUUAGUGAAGUAUAUGCUUUAUUGUAUUUGGCACAAUACAUUGAAUGAAAUAAAGCUUAUUUAUUAAAAUCUCCAAGAAAUUAUAGAUAUGUACAUACACAUGAGUUAAAACAAACAAAUAGGAUGGAGCCUUCACAAAGGUUGCUCAUGUGAAGUCUCAUUACUCGGAAGUACCCCAGAAGGGGGAGGCACUGGAGAUUAAUCAUGUGGUACCCCAGUACUUGGCAAAACACCAGAAGGGGAAGGCAUCAGUUGCUUUCGAAAUCUAGCAACGAACCUCUGGUGAUCACUUUGAAUCCGACUUUUGGAUUCCUGCAGCUGGUCGAGCUUUCUUUUCAUGCUCGUCGAGUAAUUAUUUGCAAGAACGUGUAACACUCUAUUCUCGUGCUUGAGCCCUCUAAUCUCUUGUUUAAGACUUGUCACCUCAACCAUCAAUGAUUCAACUUGGUGAGUUUGAGCAAGUAGGCGUUGGCCCAUAUUGGAAACAGAGCCAGCACACUGAACACUGAGAGCCAAUGAGUCUUGAACAGCCAACUCGUCAGACCGUUUUGAAAGGAUUCUGUUAUCCUUUGGAGUGAGAAGAUUCCUAGCUACCACAGUAGCGGUUAUGUUAUUCUUCAUCACAAAGUCCCCAACCGUAAGAGGACCAUUAGAAGAUAAGAAGGACGGGCGCCAUAUAUUAUCCUGACGCUGCUCGUCUGUAUCACUCCUAAGACUCAAAUCUAAGCAAAUGUUAGAUGGGUAAGUCAUUUUCAUAAAUGAUGAAGAAAAAAAUGGUCAAAUAAAAUUUCAAAAGUGCAAGAAGAGGGAAAUUUCUCAGGCAGCAACUUUCUGAGCAUACUCUUGAACACAAUGGAUGUCUCUAUAAAAGAAGAGGCAAUAGAGCCACUUGUUCAAAGAUCGAAGUGGCACGGUUCUCCGAAUUUCAAAAGCCAGAUUUUCCUGAAUAAAGUACAUUGGCAUUUUUCAGACGCAAUCUUAGCUUUCCGAAUAUCGCGUGCAACUUUGUCAAAAAUCUCUGACAAAGUUGAAAACGCGUAAAUCUUACUGUUCUAUUUACACCAUAGUUGCUGACAAGAGUGAAAGCACAGCACCACUACUUGCUAUUAGGAAAUCUCUAUAUAUGUCGACCUCUGUUCUCCAUAACAAGGCAGACCUACAAUAAUGUGUUGGAAAUGUGCCCUAAAACCAAUCAUGUGAUGAUACUUUACGGACAUUUCACAUGUUAAACUAAUCUAGUUUAAUAUAAAGGGCAAAGAUUAUUGUUUGAGCCGUCUCAUAUAAAUGUUAUAUGCUUAAACGAUAAAGUCCAAGGAAUAUGUGAUUGGAAGAAUGUAAUCUAAUGAAGUUAGAUUCAUGAGACCAUUCUUUCGUAGACACAUCCUAAAUGUUCCUGAUCAUAGGAUUGCCAAUUGGGCAUUGACAGUCCGUCAAGAUCGGUACGUGCUAUGUCUUCUCUCAGGGAGAGUGACUAGUCUCGAGUCAUUGGUGUGUGUGACGUCAAGACAAGUACGUAGGUGCUCAGUAGAGAAUGAGUUCACUGAACGCGAUCAACGAAGAGUUCUCAUACUCAUGUCACAUGAGAACUCAUGUUUGGGAUAAUGCAAAUUAGUCCUUUGACCUGAGGCAUCACAGUUGUCUUGUGGUUAAGUCCUUGAUCUUUGAUUAUGUCAAUGUCACCCCAUCGGGGUGUCCACGGCAUCGUUGGGGGUUAAGCCACUUAGUCAUGGAGGCAAGUGAAUGCGCAACAAGGGAUCUCUAACCUUCAAACCGUUUGAGGGAGAAUACUCUAUGAUAUGAUUUAGAAUCUCUGGCCAGAGUAUGAUUGAGAUUUAGAAAAGUCGUUCUAAAUCACAUUCAAGGAAAUCAUAUAAGAACACGAAUCACAUUGGAUAGUAGACAUGAAUAAAUAAACUAUCAAACCAAACAAUGUGGUCAGGAGUAUUAGAUUAGAGAAAGACCGUAUUGCAUUUGUAAUCCUAAACUGAAUAGGUUCUUAACCUCUUCUGAUUACCUUGGGUAACCAUGACAUACGGCUAGGUGUCACUCAUGGUUUGUGGAAGCCCUAAAAGUGUAUUAUCACUAAAGGGAGAAUUGAAAGUAAGUUUCAAUUCAUAAUCGAUUUGAAAGAGUUUUGAUCGCCCACUGCCUCGCUAAAAGGAACCUAAUGGAUUGUACACCGUAUAAGGUGGAGAUGGAUGAAACAAACUAAAUGAGUAAGAAUAAUUGAAUAGUUUAAUUAUUUAUGGCAAGGAUUAAUUAAUAUGUUAAUUAAUCAAACGAAUAAGUUCGUUAAAGACCUCGGGAUAGGUUUUGGACCUUAAGGCCCAAUGGGCUUCGAACGUCAAGCCAUUGACUUAAGUUGUAUGACAACUUAAUGAAUAAUGAUUCACUAAGACCCAAAAGCCCAAACAACCCCCAUGGCCGGCCAUAUAGAGAAAGGGUAGUGAACUUGCUUUAAUUACAAGUUUGCCACUCAAAUGAAUAAAGGUAUAAAUAUGACUUUAUAGCCUUUUAUUCAAAAAGGGUUUGUUUUGGGGAAAAUUGGUGAGAAUUGUCUCUCCAUUUCUCUCUAGAAAAGCCGGCCACCAUGGAAGUUGUAGCUAGCCAUCUAUUCUUCCAUGGUCACUCAUUUAUCAUCCAUGCUCUCCUUGGUGUAGAUCCAUCCAUUUCCAUGGAUCUAAGAUGCAAGGAAUGAAGGCCCUAUCUCUUGGGUGAUUAGCCUUUGUUUAAAUACAAAGAGGAAUCUACAAAGGUAUAUAUUUCAACUCACUUUGUUUUGAGUCGUUUAUUGGUUCACCAAUCUACUAGGCUUUGAAUUUCAUGGUUAAAGUUUUGUUUUUAAGUGCAUGCAAGCAUGAUUCCGCCUUUAAUUGUUAAUUGCAUGCUUAUUGAUGUUGCUUAAAUGAACUUGUUUUCACAAAAUAUUCCUUCAAGUGGUAUCAGAGCCUAGGUCUAGUAGUUGGUGAAUCCUUUUGUGUUUUGUAGUUCAUAGUUUGUGAUUUAAAAGUUGUAAUUGUUACAAGCUUUAUUCUUGUUUCUUUGAAUGUAAAUUUUGCUAGAAAAUUUGCCAUCUCAAAUGUUGUAGAUGUAGUUCAUAUGAGCAUGAAUAUUGGAGCUAAAAUUUGGUGCCAUGACUUUGGGAAAAUUCGGCCAAAUCCAAAGGGUGGAUUUUUGGGUUCUUGUUUGACUUGUUAAAAGUGUUUUAAGGUGACUUUUGGAACCCCUAUGUACCCUAGUUUGGUUAGAUGUUAUUUCCCUUAAGUUUGAAUGGUUUUGGGAAUGUUUUUGGGUGAAAAAUGUUCAUGAAAAAUUUUGGGUUUUUCAUGAAUGUUCUUCAUUGUUCUUGACAUUUUUGCCAAGAACAAAAAGGUUUGUGUUUUGAUUCAAAGUUUUGAUUUAUUACAUAAAGUUUAUGUUUUAUGUUUUUCAAAUGUUUUAAUGCAUAAGAUUUAUUUGAAGGGUGAUGGAAAUGGUGAUGGGUGUGUAAGGAUUAAUUUCCUUUCACACACACCACUUGCACCACUUGUUGCUUUAUGUCUAAAACUCACAAAUCAACACACACAUCACUCUAUCCUCUUCCAAAACCGGCCACCCUUGCAAGUGGGGUACUUUUGGGUCUUUUAUGCAAUUACAUAAAGUUUUGAUACUUUUGUGUAUUUGCACUUUGGCCCAAAAGUUUACGUUUUUACGUUUAGGUCCAAAAACGCUAAAGGACAAAUUGUUUUGCUCCUUUAAUGAAGUUUUUGCAUUGAUUAAAUUUUGGGUUCUAUUGUAAUUACAUGAAGUAGUGGACUUUUGUGUCUUUACAAAGUGACCCCAAAAGUUUUGCAAUAUAGCCCAAAAGUUGAGGUUAAUUGCUUUAUGGCCCAAAAGUUGUGGUUAUUGCAUAUUGGCCCAAAUUAAGUAGAGAACAAAAUUGUUUUGUCUCUUUAAAUGAGAAUUGGAUUUUCAUUUUGUUUAGCUCCAUUUAAAUCAAUUUUAUGGAUACAAAAACCAAAUGAAAAUGUUGCAUUCAAUUUAAUUAGUUAAAGUGUUAAUUAAUUAAAGGGUGAUUAUGAACCUAAGCCUAAUAUAAUUGAGCUAUGUGAUAGGCCGUUUCAAAUUUGUUUGAACCAUGGGAAUGUGUAGAUUAGAUUUUGGUUGUAAUUUGAUUUGAUCAAAUGUUGUAAAAGGGCUUAAGCUCUUCUUUACUUUAAAGUAAUUUAUAUUAUGCAAAUGUUGUAAUGAGCAUAAGCUCACCUUUACUUUGAAGUACUUCUUUCUUGCUUUAUAUGAUAUGCAUGAAAAUGAAGUAGUUGGGUCCAACGCCCCUAAGACAACACGCCUUAAUGUGAUUAAACGCGUAACUAAAAUCAAUCACCAUCCCUAGACCGAGAUUCAACACAAGGCUCGUGUUGAAUCUAAACCAAGGUUCAUAGUCAUCCUAAGGCCCUAAGGCAAUUAUAUAGUCCAUCAAAUGAAUGCAAAGGUUAUGUUAGUAGUAUCAUAUACUCUUGCUUUAAAAAACCGUUUUAUAAGCAUAGUGGGAGUAUUAUAUACAACUAAAAACAAUCAUAUGGACCAAUAGUUGUAAUAGGACCAAAAUUGUUUUAAUAGAGAUUAAAAUUGAAUAUUUGUAUGUGAUGAGACCUAAAACCCUCAACCAAACCAUUAUUAAGUUGAUAAGCGUGAGAGUGCUUAGAACACUCUUUCGUAGGCCUUCCACCGUGGUGGGCUCCAAUCGUUUAUGACUUGUACACCGGCUUCACCCUAUCAUGGGGGAGUACAAAGUGCAUGCUUAUACUCAGGAGGAAUCCAUAAACAUAUGAUGAGGUUAGUGUAGGCAACGAGGAUAGCCGACAUCGUAUCAUCGUGAGGCUAUUCUUGAACCCCUUCACGAACUAAGCAUGGUGGGAAUGACUUAACUAAGUGCAAUGGAACCAACAUCAUAUCAUUGUGAGGUGACAUUCUCUAGAGGCCAAAUAAGAUGGGUACUUGCAUUAGUUGCAAAUGAGUAAGUGUACUCUCUCAUUAUUAUUAAUGCUAGCCAACAUCAUAUCAUUGUGAGGUGGGCUUGGUAAUAGUGAGUCUCCCAUAACCUACUAAGAGUUUCAUCCAAAACUCUCGAAUUCCAAUGAGGGAUAUGGAAUUUGCCAAAAAUAGUGGGUGGUGCUAUUUUGAUUUAAAGACCCGAAUCAAAUGGCUUAAAAUCAAUCUAUUUAUAUUCGUUAUGUAUUUGUUUACCAAUAUAUUUGCAAACGCUAUCCAACACUUGACAAAUAAAAACCGAAUGUUUUAGUUUCCGGACUUGGUACCACAAUCCCAAAGAAUGUCUUAAAAGGAUUGCAUAUGUACCUAAGUAGUCUCAUCCUCACAAUCUUCCUAAUGAUAAUGUAUCAUUGGAAGAACAUGUUAGAAAAGUCUAUCAUGAAGAGAACAACACAAACAACCAAUGCUUAUUCCUUCGUUAUAUGAACAAAGGAACUUACGAAGAUUAGCAUAAAUGACAAGGACACUUUUAGUGUUAUUAGUUCUUCACUUACAAAUUGUUGUAUGAAGAAAUAAUAGUUGCUUUGAACAACCCUUAGUCAAUGCAAACACUAGUGCUUGUUUCUUUGUUAAAUGAACAAAGAACUUGAGAAGAAAGCACAAAGGCAUGGACACUUUAUGUGCCAUGAUUCUUCACUUACAAAUUGUUGUAUGAAGAAAUGAGAGUUGCCUUGUACAACUCUUGAAGGUUUGUAAUUAUGUUUAGAACAUAAUGGUUGGUUGACAAAAAUAGUCCAUUAACAUAGACUUAUGAUGAUUUUGAAUCAUUAAGUGUUGAAGUGAUAAACCACUUAAUGAGACGGAAACUAGGCAAGGACUUCACCUUUGUUUCCCUAUCCUAAUGGUUCACUAAGUUUAUUGUAAACUAUGUAGUGAACAAUAACCACAAGCUCUCCAAAUUGUUUGAUGUGUAUAACACAAUUGAAAAAGGUUUCAAGAGAGAUAGUGGGAGUUUAGGGACCUUGACUAUGGUAGUCAAAGGAGAAGUCAAAUGAAGAAAGCGAAAUAACCCCAAGGGAACAAACUUUCUUUAUGAAAGGAUGGACAUUGGAAGGGGUAUUUGCAAGAAAUGUCUUGCAAGUGUCAAGAACACACCUUUCGAAGGUGUUGUAAAUUGUUCUUGAAUAGUUCAAAACAGUUGGUUCUUCUACUUGAAUGCGUGAUUUCGUAUUAGUAACUAUGUUUUACAAUCGUUGUAAAAGUGUGACUAAUAAGAAGUAGAAGAUAUAUGAGAGAAGGAAAAGGUGCUUCACAUUCGGAACGUGAAUAAAAUAUAGAUCUCUGCGAAAGCAGAUAGUACUUACUUCCUCAUAUGAACUACCAAAGAAAUUGGAAAAACAAGAUUGUCUUUACAUUCCAAUUUUAAGGAAUUUAAUUCCGUCACUAUAGUAGAGAUGGAUGAAUGUUUUGUUUGACAAAACAUUGUUCUUUAUUAAUCAAUGAUUGGAUUAUAGUAAUCUAAUUGAUUGUCUCUAUAGUAGAGAUGAUAUGGUAGUGUUAACUGUUUAGAAUACAACGAUGCUUAAAACCCAAAAGGUUGCAAGGUAGUGACUAAUCCCAACUAAAGUUGUGAUACCUCUAAAACAUAAAUUACGAGUUGGUCAUAGAUGGACGCUUUGGAUUGUUAGAUCCGGAUCCAAUACCUUCUUGUUAAAAUUGUAUAGAGGCAAAAUGUUUGAAUCUUCAUUCUUUUGGAAAGAAUAAAGAAUCACAAAG
RNAcentral lists this long non-coding RNA (44522 nucleotides) under Malus domestica (apple). RNAcentral describes it as "long non-coding RNA (MDOM_LNC011303)". The record is from RNAcentral. Lineage: Eukaryota; Viridiplantae; Streptophyta; Magnoliopsida; Rosales; Rosaceae.